UGGGGAAUUUUGGACAAUGGGGGCAACCCUGAUCCAGCCAUCCCGCGUGUGCGAUGAAGGCCUUCGGGUUGUAAAGCACUUUUGGCAGGGAAGAAACAACCUGGGAUAAUACCCCGGGCGACUGACGGUACCUGCAGAAUAAGCACCGGCUAACUACGUGCCAGCAGCCGCGGUAAUACGUAGGGUGCAAGCGUUAAUCGGAAUUACUGGGCGUAAAGCGUGCGCAGGCGGUUCGGAAAGAAAGGUGUGAAAUCCCAGGGCUUAACCUUGGAACUGUACUUUUAACUACCGAGCUAGAGUACGUCAGAGGGGGGUAGAAUUCCACGUGUAGCAGUGAAAUGCGUAGAGAUGUGGAGGAAUACCGAUGGCGAAGGCAGCCCCCUGGGAUGAUACUGACGCUCAUGCACGAAAGCGUGGGGAGCAAACAGGAUUAGAUACCCUGGUAGUCCACGCCCUAAACGAUGUCAACUAGCUGUUGGGGUUUAUUAACCUUAGUAGCGCAGCUAACGCGUGAAGUUGACCGCCUGGGGAGUACGGUCGCAAGAUUAAAAC
Molecule: ribosomal RNA, 552 nt
Filed under: uncultured bacterium
Lineage: Bacteria
Description: partial 16S ribosomal RNA
Rfam family: Bacterial small subunit ribosomal RNA
Source: RNAcentral